Vicugna pacos (alpaca) is the source of this 335-nucleotide non-coding RNA. NCBI's taxonomy places the organism in Eukaryota, Metazoa, Chordata, Mammalia, Artiodactyla, Camelidae. The record is from RefSeq and is a predicted model, not a curated record.
GUUUCUUCAACACACAGACGUUGUCUCAGCAGAGGUGCCUUUCCAACAGCCCUGCCUCACUGCGCCUCUGGAGUAGUCAGCCCAGUGCCCCUCAGCUGUAUCUGCCUUGUCGGCAGUUCUGGGGCGGCGGCGGGGGGAGGUGCUGUGCUGCCUCCGCGGUCACCCAGAUGUCCAGAGAGGAGAGGGCCAGGCGCCCUUCGAAACCUCUGCCCAAGACUCACCAAAUGCCCUCUGCCUGGCUGUGCAGAGACCCUGCCGACAACACACAGGCGGCACCCUGGGGGUGAUGUCGGCUGAAGAGGACUUACUUUUCCUCUGAAACAAGGUGAGCACAG